RNAcentral lists this long non-coding RNA (2309 nucleotides) under Homo sapiens (human). RNAcentral describes it as "non-protein coding RBFADN:14". The record is from RNAcentral. Lineage: Eukaryota; Metazoa; Chordata; Mammalia; Primates; Hominidae.
AAUUAUAAUUUGAUAUUUAUUAGCCAUAACUAAAUAUUGCCAUGAUGCAUUGCUAUUUGUUCCCUCCUUUUCCCUUUGUCUACCUAUAUAAUCAAUCUUGUAAGGUCCAGUAACAAAGUGAAUUAUUGGGACUCUUGCUAUUUUCCUAUCACUAAUGGACAAUUACAACUUGUCUUUGAUGUUUCUAUUCUUGUUCUAGCAAUAGCGUUUAUGGCAGCAUUUAGCGGACACAGAAGCACAUCUGAAAGUGGAGAGAGACGCGUUUCCCCAUUGCUGGCCGAGUCCCACCACUUUGCUCAGCUAUGAACACCUGACAUCUCGUUUCAUUUUCAUGCAAAAUCUGGAGAUAAUUAUUAUCCACAAUUCUAAGGCCUUAGGCCCCUCCGCAUGAGCCUGCCAUUACCACUUCAUUCCCUUGCACCUGAAAGACUCCAGAGCCCCUUGAAAGAACAGGUCCUCCAAGAGGAGCAUCGCCAGCCAGCCCCUGAAUCUCCUGAGGAAACUCUCAUGCACAUAUCUUGACCUGAGCACAGACCGGACGCCAGCGGAGGGCAGGAGCAAGCAGGACACACUGUGGCUGAGGAGGGGACCCUGGGCUUGUGGGCCUCGGAGAGGCAGAGCAGGGGAGGCAGAUGAGACUGCACACAGCUUUUUGUUUGACAUAUCCUAAGCCCCCUGCACACGCCACUCAAGGUCUUCUCUGUGCCCCAUCUGGUGCAGGAGGCCUGUCUGUCUGUGAAAUUGCUUUUAGCAAUAGCUGUGGAUCACCACUGAGAGGGUGAAUAUACAAAUGAACAAUGGGCAGACCGUCUAUGAUGGCAAAACUUGGACCUCCAACCUUGAGGCCAAAGCACAUCAUGUGCGGCCUCUGGCGGGACUCAGGUCUGGGAAGCGACUGCAGCUUCCCUAUUUUCUAGCUCUGCUUCCAACUAAGAAAGUCAGAUAUUCUCCCCAAACCAACCCCAUAGGAUGCCCGCUGCCAGGUGGCCCACCCCCAGCUUCCCCCUGACAACAGCCUCCACCCAGGGCAUACCCAACCAGAGCCUUCCCAUCUUCUAAUGGGAAGCUUCCCCUCCCCACCCCACCUUCAAGGCUCUGCCACGCGCAGGGACAGUGUAGCCUUCUUGGCUACAGCUUCGAGUGAGCAGCCUCUGCCAUCCUCGCUGAUGUCCCCGGUUACCGUGAAGGCUCCUCCAGGACACUGUCUGCACUGCCUGUCGUCCAGACCCCACCUCUGCCCAGGCACCCUGGCCUUAAUGCUGCAGCCCACAGGGCACCCAGCUGGUGACUGAGGCCUGUUCUGAGCCCCUCGCUGGCACAUUCCUGGACUUCUCAGUUUGGUGCCAGGGCCUCAUUCCUGCUUCCCAUUUGCUCUGUUACAGGGGAAUUAGUCCCUUCCUUUACUCUUUUGUGCUGUGCUUUCUAAACGUGGUGUUUGUCAUAAUAAGAAGCAUGAGGGGCACAUGGAUCAGCCUCACAGACAGGUGAGUCUGUAGCUCUUACCAGACCCUUGUUCACAUCCAUGAACUUGGCUGUGGAUCACCAGGGAAACUGGGUGAGGUUCUGCCAUCCAGGGGUUUUGUCCUGAGAACUUGGCUUUUAGAACAUUCUCUCUGGUUUUUUGCUUGGGGGUGGGGGUCUGGUGCAGGGUGCUGGGUCUGUGUUUGGAGGAGGCCAGCCCGUAGGCUGGGGGCCUGAGACACUGUGCACUGGCGUGAUGCGUCUGCCGCCCAUCACCAGCUUGCAGGGGCAUCCACGGCUGAAUCCUCUGCUCUUCCAGGAAAGACUUAUGCUUCUCAUGGUCCUAGUUCUCAUGCUGAUCUUUCUACUUGGCAAAAUUCACCAAGGGUGACUUGGGUUUUUGGUGGCAACUCUGGGAACAUUUGGCUUGAAAAAUUGUUCAUUUAAGAGAUUCUUUAGAGAAGAAAAUGAGUAAGAUUCCCUAGGCCUAAAUGCAGAGGCCUCCAAAUGAAUUUCUGAAUAAAAAAGUAUUUCGCUAAGAGACUGUUUGGCCAAUGCUAAUGACUGACUUGACAAACCGCCCCUCACCCGCCUGCCCUCCAUGUCCCCCUGUGUCUAGCCCUCCUCCUCCCCCUCGUCCUUUCCUGUUUCUCUCCUUCCACACCUCCAUCAACUGCUUCCUCCUGUCCCCUGUAUCCAGAUGCCCUACCUUUUCCCAACAAUUCUCCCACCACGCUGUAACCUAAACUUCCCCCAUAUUCCUUGAAGCUGGAAACAAAGGGCUGACAGCAAUCAUUGAAGGCCUUGGAUCCAAAGUCCUUCUCAUGCACUUCACUAGCCCUUAUCAC